UACGUAGGCAGCGAGCGUUGUUCGGAAUUACUGGGCGUAAAGAGUGUGUAGGCGGUGCUCCCAGUCUGUUGUGAAAUCUCCCGGCUUAACUGGGAGGGUGCAGCGGAAACUAGAGUGCUAGAGUGUGGGAGAGGAAAGUGGAAUUCCUGGUGUAGCGGUGAAAUGCGUAGAUAUCAGGAGGAACACCGGUGGUGUAAACGGCUUUCUGGACCAUAACUGACGCUGAGGCACGAAAGCGUGGGUAGCAAACAGG
RNAcentral lists this ribosomal RNA (253 nucleotides) under uncultured bacterium. Its description in RNAcentral is "partial 16S ribosomal RNA". It matches the Rfam family "Bacterial small subunit ribosomal RNA", at positions 524 to 776 of the family's 1533-position model. The record is from RNAcentral.